GACGAACGCUGGCGGCGUGCUUAACACAUGCAAGUCGAACGGAAAGGCCCUGCUUUUGUGGGGUGCUCGAGUGGCGAACGGGUGAGUAACACGUGAGUAACCUGCCCUUGACUUUGGGAUAACUUCAGGAAACUGGGGCUAAUACCGGAUAGGAGCUCCUGCUGCAUGGUGGGGGUUGGAAAGUUUCGGCGGUUGGGGAUGGACUCGCGGCUUAUCAGCUUGUUGGUGGGGUAGUGGCUUACCAAGGCUUUGACGGGUAGCCGGCCUGAGAGAGUGACCGGCGACAUGGGGACUGAGGGACGGCGCAGACUGCUACGGGAGGCAGCAGUGGGGAGUAUUGCACAAUGGGCGGAAGCCUGAUGCAGCAACGCCGCGUGCGGGAUGACGGCCUUCGGGUUGUAAACCGCUGUCGCCUGUGACGAAGCGUGAGUGACGGUAAUGGGUAAAGAAGCACCGGCUAACUACGUG
Molecule: ribosomal RNA, 468 nt
Filed under: uncultured bacterium
Lineage: Bacteria
Description: partial 16S ribosomal RNA
Rfam family: Bacterial small subunit ribosomal RNA
Source: RNAcentral